This 879-nucleotide ribosomal RNA is filed under the name uncultured Chloroflexota bacterium. Its description in RNAcentral is "bacterial SSU rRNA". It matches the Rfam family "Bacterial small subunit ribosomal RNA", at positions 34 to 916 of the family's 1533-position model. Lineage: Bacteria; Bacillati; Chloroflexota. The record is from RNAcentral.
CCUUGGCGGGGUGCUAUAAUGCAGUCGAACGGGGAGUUUUGCUUCGGUAAGACUCCGAGUGGCGAACGGGUGAGUAACGCGUAGGUGACCUACCCCGGAGUGAGGGAUAACAGUUCGAAAGGGCUGCUAAUACCCCAUGGAGUUAGGAAGGUUAGAGGCUUUCUAACGAAAGGAGUGUACUGAGAGGUGCACUUCGCUGCGGGAGGGGCCUGCGUCCCAUCAGUUAGUUGGUAGGGUAAUGGCCUACCAAGGCGACGACGGGUAGGGGACCUGAGAGGGUGACCCCCCACACUGGCACUGAAACACGGGCCAGACACCUACGGGUGGCAGCAGUAGGGAAUAUUGCACAAUGGGCGCAAGCCUGAUGCAGCAACGCCGCGUGCACGAUGAAGGCCUUCGGGUUGUAAAGUGCUUUUCUGGAGGACGAGACAGGACGGUACUUCAGGAAUAAGGAUCGGCUAACUACGUGCCAGCAGCCGCGGUAACACGUAGGAUCCGAGCGUUAUCCGAAUUUACUGGGCGUAAAGCGCGUGUAGGCGGCAAGGUAAGUUGGACGUGAAAUCUCCUGGCUCAACUGGGAGGGGUCGUUCAAGACUGCCUGGCUAGAGGGCGGUAGAGGGAGGUGGAAUUCCCGGUGUAGUGGUGAAAUGCGUAGAUAUCGGGAGGAACACCAGUGGCGAAGGCGGCCUCCUGGGCCGCACCUGACGCUCAGACGCGAAAGCUAGGGGAGCGAACGGGAUUAGAUACCCCGGUAGUCCUAGCUGUAAACGAUGUGGACUUGGCGUCGGCGGGGUCAAACCUGCCGGUGCCGCAGCCAACGCGCUAAGUCCACCGCCUGGGGACUACGGCCGCAAGGUUAAAACUCAAAGGAAUUGACGG